UUGGCGAACGGGUGAGUAACGCGUGAGUAACCUGCCCUGGAGUGGGGGACAACAGUUGGAAACGACUGCUAAUACCGCAUAAGCCCACGGCCCGGCAUCGGGCUGCGGGAAAAGGAUUUAUUCGCUUCAGGAUGGACUCGCGUCCAAUUAGCUAGUUGGUGAGGUAACGGCCCACCAAGGCAACGAUUGGUAGCCGGACUGAGAGGUUGAACGGCCACAUUGGGACUGAGACACGGCCCAG
This 241-nucleotide ribosomal RNA is filed under the name uncultured bacterium. RNAcentral describes it as "partial 16S ribosomal RNA". It matches the Rfam family "Bacterial small subunit ribosomal RNA", at positions 95 to 334 of the family's 1533-position model. The record is from RNAcentral.